UGCUCGUUGGCCUGUUUGUUAAGCUCGGCGAUGAGACGGUCGUCCCAGACUAUGCCAGAGGAGCCCUGUCGGCGGAAGGAGAUGUUGGAUCUCUGAAGACCCGCCAUGGAUGGCGGUAACUGUUCCUCCUUUUCCUCCGUCUUUCUUUGUUGUCUGAGGUUCUCUCUCUGUCUGGUUUUUUGGAUGUUUGCUAAAAGUGGUUGAUCACUGUGUUUCAGACUUGAUUCAUUUCUUCAUAUCCCUUAUCCCAAAUAUUUAAAAUAAGUUAUCUCCCUUCCUACCAUUUAUAUCUUUUAGUCGGCUAGCUGCUUCUUGAAAUGAAAUGACCAAAUAUUAUCUUAGCUACGUAGUUAAACGGGAGAUAAAACUCGGUCAAAGCAACGGAUAAUUAUGGGAGUAGAUUUUGUGUGGUUAGGUGUAGAAAAUUAAAAUCUAUUUUAACGUAAAGCUUUAUCCAUUUAUCUGCCAAAUCAAAAUUUCAUUUGAAUUGGUCAUCGCAUAAUUUCAGCAAAAUGGAUUAAGUUUUUCUUUUUUGGUAAAAUAACAUGGAUUAAGUUUUUUUUUUUUUUGGGUGUAAAACAUGGAUUAAGUUGUUCUUUAUUUCUUACAGAAAUCCAUCGACGCUGUGUUUGAUUAUGUUGAAACAACAAAUACCGGCAGAUGACUGAUUAUUGGAGAUUAAAAAUCAUUAAUCACAGAAAUUGUAAAGC
This 710-nucleotide long non-coding RNA is filed under the name Brassica napus (rape). RNAcentral's name for it is "long non-coding RNA (BNAP_LNC001242)". The record is from RNAcentral. Lineage: Eukaryota; Viridiplantae; Streptophyta; Magnoliopsida; Brassicales; Brassicaceae.